GCGUCUGUAGCCUAGUUGGUAAAGGCAGCACUCUAGUGCUGUGCGAGGUCGUGAGUUCAACUCUCACCAGACACA
Molecule: transfer RNA, 75 nt
Filed under: Puccinia triticina 1-1 BBBD Race 1
Lineage: Eukaryota; Fungi; Basidiomycota; Pucciniomycetes; Pucciniales; Pucciniaceae
Description: tRNA-Thr (AGT) (tRNA-Thr-AGT-20-1)
Rfam family: tRNA
About the family: Transfer RNA (tRNA) molecules are approximately 80 nucleotides in length. Their secondary structure includes four short double-helical elements and three loops (D, anti-codon, and T loops).
Source: RNAcentral